AUGCUUACCUGGCAGGGGAGAUGCCAUGAUGAUCACGAAGGUGGUUUUCCCAGGGCAGGCUUAUCCAUUGCACUCCGGAUGUGCUGGCCACGCGAUUUCCCCAAAUGUAGGAGCUCGGCUGCAUAAUUUGUGGUAGUGGGGACUGCGUUUAAAACCUGGAGUUGUUGGCUCCAG
This 174-nucleotide small nuclear RNA is filed under the name Papio anubis (olive baboon). RNAcentral describes it as "U1 spliceosomal RNA (ENSPANG00000045883.1)". It matches the Rfam family "U1 spliceosomal RNA". From Rfam's summary of the family: U1 is a small nuclear RNA (snRNA) component of the spliceosome (involved in pre-mRNA splicing). Its 5' end forms complementary base pairs with the 5' splice junction, thus defining the 5' donor site of an intron. There are significant differences in sequence and secondary structure between metazoan and yeast U1 snRNAs, the latter being much longer (568 nucleotides as compared to 164 nucleotides in human). Lineage: Eukaryota; Metazoa; Chordata; Mammalia; Primates; Cercopithecidae. The record is from Rfam by way of RNAcentral.